Molecule: ribosomal RNA, 504 nt
Filed under: uncultured Arcobacter sp.
Lineage: Bacteria; Pseudomonadati; Campylobacterota; Epsilonproteobacteria; Campylobacterales; Arcobacteraceae
Description: bacterial SSU rRNA
Rfam family: Bacterial small subunit ribosomal RNA
Source: RNAcentral
AGAGUUUGAUCAUGGCUCAGAGUGAACGCUGGUGGCGUGCUUAACACAUGCAAGUCGAACGAGAACGGAUUAUAGCUUGCUAUAAUUGUCAGCUAAGUGGCGCACGGGUGAGUAAUGUAUAGGUAAUAUGCCUCUUACUAAGGGAUAACAAAUGGAAACGUUUGCUAAUACCUUAUACUCCUUAUUAACAAAAGUUAAUAAGGGAAAGAUUUAUUGGUAAGAGAUUAGCCUGUAUUGUAUCAGUUAGUUGGUGGGGUAAUGGCUUACCAAGACUAUGACACAUAACUGGUUUGAGAGGAUGAUCAGUCACACUGGAACUGAGACACGGUCCAGACUCCUACGGGAGGCAGCAGUGGGGAAUAUUGCACAAUGGACGGAAGUCUGAUGCAGCAACGCCGCGUGGAGGAUGACACAUUUCGGUGCGUAAACUCCUUUUAUAUAGGAAGAUAAUGACGGUACUAUAUGAAUAAGCACCGGCUAACUCCGUGCCAGCAGCCGCGGUAA